AUGGGGGGUUGGUUCUUUGGGUUUUGUUUUCUGUUGGUUUAUGUGUUUAAUUUAAUGAUUUGUAAAGUGAUGUUCCUCUUCCUUUUUUACACUUUUCAGCUCAUAUUUAACCUCUGUUUGGAAAAUGAUUCUUGUAACUGUACAUUUUUUUGCCUCCUAACAACACGAAUAAAUGACCAGUUUUGUGUCGGGGGGGUGUACGGGGCUGGUUAUUUGUCCGUUAGAUGCCACGGAAUGACUGGCUGGCCCGCACACUGGGCACAAACAGCCACGGAGAGGGAGGCACGCGCUCACACCGGGCACACAAUGGCACUUCACACAGCAGCCUCCCGCACGUGUGCCGGGCCUCGCCGGGCCUCCUUCUCCCUCCCUCGUCAGACUCGCAUGCGGUCGGCUCUGAGCUUCCAGCUGCCAAGUGGAGCUAAGGAGGAAGUCUGUUUAAGGACCUGCCUGGGGCUGGGGUCAGCGUGGCGGGAGUGUGGGGCUGCAUCCCGAUGUGUGCGGGGGGGGGCUGCCCCUCCCUCGAGUCAUUCAGAGCCCUACCUGCAGCCACAGCGAAUUGUCCUCCAGGGGGCGGUGCCGGGCCUGCAGAGCCUGACGGCUUCCCCCCUUCCCUGCUUCUCUGUUGGUGUCGGUGCCACCGGUUUCUUGGGAGAGAGGCCGUACCCUUGUUCCUCUGCCCAAUUCCAGUCCUUUCCCUACUUGACCCCAGCCUUCAGAGCUGGUCCCCCCUCCUCCUUGCCCACAGCUGCGGCUUCUGAGCCUUGCAGGCCCAGCUUACCCAAAUCCGGGGCCAUCUUGACCCACUUUCGCAGGAAAGCCCCGCCUCUCCCCUGCUCCGCCCCCUUCAGCCUCCCGUCCCCCUGGAGAAUAGAGCAGGCCCCUACGGCAGCUCUGUUUUCUCGUCCUCUAGUCCUGCCUCUGCAGGAAGUCGCUUCUAGUCACUCUGCAGGAAGAAGGAGGCAUGGUUCCCUUAGAUGUGGGAGCAGGGAUCCCAGGGCUUUGGCCUCAAGGGUCCUGGGCCUGCCCUAUUGGCUCUGA
Molecule: long non-coding RNA, 1041 nt
Filed under: Felis catus (domestic cat)
Lineage: Eukaryota; Metazoa; Chordata; Mammalia; Carnivora; Felidae
Description: lncRNA (ENSFCAG00000052574.1)
Source: RNAcentral